AAAGCUCCGGGCUUAACUCGGAGAUGUCGUUCAAUACUGCGGGGGCUUGAGGACAGCAGAGGAAGGUGGAUUCCCGGUGUAGUGGUGAAAUGCGUAGAUAUCGGGAGGAACACCCGUGGCGAAGGCGGCCUUCUGGGCUGUUCCUGACGCUGAAGGCGAAAGCUAGGGGAGCGAACGGGAUUAGAUACCCCGGUAGUCCUAGCUGUAAACGAUGGAUGCUGGGUGUGGGGGGUGUAAAUUCCCUCUGUGCCGAAGCAAACGCGUUAAGCAUCCCGCCUGGGGACUACGGCCGCAAGGCUAAAACUCAAACGAAUUGACGAGGGCCCGCACAAGCAGCGGAGCGUGUGGUUUAAUUCGAUGCUACACGAAGAACCUUACCUGGGUUUGACAUGCACGUGGUAGGGAACCGAAAGGGGACCGACCUUCGGGAGCGUGCACAGGUGCUGCAUGGCUGUCGUCAGCUCGUGCCGUGAGGUGUCGGGUUAAGUCCCGUAACGAGCGCAACCCUUGUCCUUAGUUACAAGUGUCUAAGGGGACUGCCCGGGACAACUGGGAGGAAGGUGGGGAUGACGUCAAGUCAGCAUGGCCUUUAUAUCCAGGGCUACACACACGCUACAAUGGCCGGUACAAUAGGUUGCGAAGUCGUGAGGCGGAGCCAAUCCUCAAAGCCGGUCUCAGUUCGAAUUGCAGUCUGCAACUCGACUGCAUGAAGCUGGAGUUGCUAGUAAUCGCAGGUCAGCUAUACUGCGGUGAAUACGUUCCCGGGCCUUGUACACACCGCCCGUCACGUCAUGGAAGCUGGCAACGCCUGAAGCCGGUGAGCUAACCCGAAAGG
This 835-nucleotide ribosomal RNA is filed under the name uncultured organism. RNAcentral's name for it is "bacterial SSU rRNA". It matches the Rfam family "Bacterial small subunit ribosomal RNA", at positions 597 to 1446 of the family's 1533-position model. The record is from RNAcentral.